Molecule: transfer RNA, 67 nt
Filed under: Pilumnus vespertilio
Lineage: Eukaryota; Metazoa; Arthropoda; Malacostraca; Decapoda; Pilumnidae
Description: tRNA-Asn
Source: RNAcentral
UUAAUAGAAGCCAAAAAGCGGCAUAUUAUUGUUAAUAAUAUCAUUGAAUUUUAUAAUUCCUGUUAAG